This 746-nucleotide ribosomal RNA is filed under the name uncultured Acinetobacter sp. RNAcentral's name for it is "bacterial SSU rRNA". It matches the Rfam family "Bacterial small subunit ribosomal RNA", at positions 54 to 793 of the family's 1533-position model. Lineage: Bacteria; Pseudomonadati; Pseudomonadota; Gammaproteobacteria; Moraxellales; Moraxellaceae. The record is from RNAcentral.
CAUGCAAGUCGAGCGGAGAUGAGGUGCUUGCACCUUAUCUUAGCGGCGGACGGGUGAGUAAUGCUUAGGAAUCUGCCUAUUAGUGGGGGACAACAUUCCGAAAGGAAUGCUAAUACCGCAUACGUCCUACGGGAGAAAGCAGGGGAUCUUCGGACCUUGCGCUAAUAGAUGAGCCUAAGUCGGAUUAGCUAGUUGGUGGGGUAAAGGCCUACCAAGGCGACGAUCUGUAGCGGGUCUGAGUGGAUGAUCCGCCACACUGGGACUGAGACACGGCCCAGACUCCUACGGGAGGCAGCAGUGGGGAAUAUUGGACAAUGGGGGGAACCCUGAUCCAGCCAUGCCGCGUGUGUGAAGAAGGCCUUAUGGUUGUAAAGCACUUUAAGCGAGGAGGAGGCUACUGAGACUAAUACUCUUGGAUAGUGGACGUUACUCGCAGAAUAAGCAUCGGCUAACUCUGUGCCAGCAGCCGCGGUAAUACAGAGGGUGCGAGCGUUAAUCGGAUUUACUGGGCGUAAAGCGUGCGUAGGCGGCUUUUUAAGUCGGAUGUGAAAUCCCCGAGCUUAACUUGGGAAUUGCAUUCGAUACUGGGAAGCUAGAGUAUGGGAGAGGAUGGUAGAAUUCCAGGUGUAGCGGUGAAAUGCGUAGAGAUCUGGAGGAAUACCGAUGGCGAAGGCAGCCAUCUGGCCUAAUACUGACGCUGAGGUACGAAAGCAUGGGGAGCAAACAGGAUUAGAUACNCCUGGUAG